This 414-nucleotide ribosomal RNA is filed under the name uncultured microorganism. RNAcentral's name for it is "bacterial SSU rRNA". It matches the Rfam family "Archaeal small subunit ribosomal RNA", at positions 459 to 872 of the family's 1478-position model. The record is from RNAcentral.
CAGCAGCCGCGGUAAUACCGGCGGCCCGAGUGGCGGUCACUAUUAUUGGGCUUAAAGCGUCCGUAGCCGGGUUGGGAAGUCCUCCGGGAAAUCUGGCCGCUUAACGGUUAGAAUGCCGGAGGAUACUCCCAGCCUAGGGAGCGGGAGAGGCCGAGGGUAUUCCCGGAGUAGGGGUGAAAUCCUAUAAUCCCGGGAGGACCACCUGUGGCGAAGGCGCUCGGCUGGAACGCGUCCGACGGUGAGGGACGAAGGCCAGGGGAGCAAACCGGAUUAGAUACCCGGGUAGUCCUGGCGGUAAACGAUGCGGACUUUGUGUCGGACAAGCUAUGAGCUUGUCCGGUGCCGGAGGGAAACCGUUAAGUCCGCCGCCUGGGGAGUACGGCCGCAAGGCUGAAACUUAAAGGAAUUGGCGGG